GUGCUAAUACAUGCAAGUCGAGCGAAUGGAUUAAGAGCUUGCUCUUAUGAAGUUAGCGGCGGACGGGUGAGUAACACGUGGGUAACCUGCCCAUAAGACUGGGAUAACUCCGGGAAACCGGGGCUAAUACCGGAUAACAUUUUGAACCGCAUGGUUCGAAAUUGAAAGGCGGCUUCGGCUGUCACUUAUGGAUGGACCCGCGUCGCAUUAGCUAGUUGGUGAGGUAACGGCUCACCAAGGCAACGAUGCGUAGCCGACCUGAGAGGGUGAUCGGCCACACUGGGACUGAGACACGGCCCAGACUCCUACGGGAGGCAGCAGUAGGGAAUCUUCCGCAAUGGACGAAAGUCUGACGGAGCAACGCCGCGUGAGUGAUGAAGGCUUUCGGGUCGUAAAACUCUGUUGUUAGGGAAGAACAAGUGCUAGUUGAAUAAGCUGGCACCUUGACGGUACCUAACCAGAAAGCCACGGCUAACUACGUGCCAGCAGCCGCGGUAAUACGUAGGUGGCAAGCGUUAUCCGGAAUUAUUGGGCGUAAAGCGCGCGCAGGUGGUUUCUUAAGUCUGAUGUGAAAGCCCACGGCUCAACCGUGGAGGGUCAUUGGAAACUGGGAGACUUGAGUGCAGAAGAGGAAAGUGGAAUUCCAUGUGUAGCGGUGAAAUGCGUAGAGAUAUGGAGGAACACCAGUGGCGAAGGCGACUUUCUGGUCUGUAACUGACACUGAGGCGCG
Molecule: ribosomal RNA, 730 nt
Filed under: Bacillus anthracis (anthrax bacterium)
Lineage: Bacteria; Bacillati; Bacillota; Bacilli; Caryophanales; Bacillaceae
Description: bacterial SSU rRNA
Rfam family: Bacterial small subunit ribosomal RNA
Source: RNAcentral